RNAcentral lists this ribosomal RNA (454 nucleotides) under uncultured bacterium. Its description in RNAcentral is "partial 16S ribosomal RNA". It matches the Rfam family "Bacterial small subunit ribosomal RNA", at positions 28 to 507 of the family's 1533-position model. The record is from RNAcentral.
GAUGAACGCUGACAGAAUGCUUAACACAUGCAAGUCAACUUGAACUUCGGUUUGGGUGGCGGACGGGUGAGUAACGCGUAAAGAACUUGCCUCACAGCUAGGGACAACAUUUGGAAACGAAUGCUAAUACCUGAUAUUAUGAUUUUAGGGCAUCCUAGAAUUAUGAAAGCUAUAUGCGCUGUGAGAGAGCUUUGCGUCCCAUUAGCUAGUUGGAGAGGUAACGGCUCACCAAGGCGAUGAUGGGUAGCCGGCCUGAGAGGGUGAACGGCCACAAGGGGACUGAGACACGGCCCUUACUCCUACGGGAGGCAGGAGUGGGGAAUAUUGGACAAUGGACCAAGAGUCUGAUCCAGCAAUUCGGUGUGCACGAUGAAGUUUUUCGGAAUGUAAAGUGCUUUCAGUUGGGAAGAAAAAAAUGACGGUACCAACAGAAGAAGUGACGGCUAAAUACGUG